AUUGACCGCUGGCGGCAUGCCUUACACAUGCAAGUCGAACGGCAGCGCGGGGGCAACCCUGGCGGCGAGUGGCGAACGGUUGAGUAAUACAUCGGAACGUGUCCUGGAGUGGGGGAUAGCCCGGCGAAAGCCGGAUUAAUACCGCAUACGAUCUUGGGAUGAAAGCGGGGGACCGAAAGGCCUCGCGCUCAAGGGGCGGCCGAUGGCAGAUUAGCUAGUUGGUGGGGUAAAGGCCUACCAAGGCGACGAUCUGUAGCUGGUCUGAGAGGACGACCAGCCACACUGGGACUGAGACACGGCCCAGACUCCUACGGGAGGCAGCAGUGGGGAAUUUUGGACAAUGGGGGCAACCCUGAUCCAGCAAUGCCGCGUGUGUGAAGAAGGCCUUCGGGUUGUAAAGCACUUUUGUCCGGAAAGAAAACCUCCGUCCUAAUACGGUGGGGGGAUGACGGUACCGGGAGGAUAAGCACCGGCUAACUACGUGC
RNAcentral lists this ribosomal RNA (485 nucleotides) under uncultured beta proteobacterium. RNAcentral describes it as "bacterial SSU rRNA". It matches the Rfam family "Bacterial small subunit ribosomal RNA", at positions 29 to 508 of the family's 1533-position model. The record is from RNAcentral. Lineage: Bacteria; Pseudomonadati; Pseudomonadota; Betaproteobacteria.